CGGAACAUAGUUCAGCUUGGUAGAAUACCUGUUUUGGGAACAGGGGGUCGUAGGUUCAAAUCCUGCUGUUCCGA
This 74-nucleotide transfer RNA is filed under the name Castanea mollissima (Chinese chestnut). It matches the Rfam family "tRNA". Rfam says of the family: Transfer RNA (tRNA) molecules are approximately 80 nucleotides in length. Their secondary structure includes four short double-helical elements and three loops (D, anti-codon, and T loops). Lineage: Eukaryota; Viridiplantae; Streptophyta; Magnoliopsida; Fagales; Fagaceae. The record is from Rfam by way of RNAcentral. RNAcentral also lists the same sequence under 1 other name.